CCCAGCGGUAGUCAGCUACCCGUCGCUGCUCAGUGCCUGUGAUAGUGUUAUGCUGCUGGGAGAGAAACGCCGCUGCCGAGUCGCUCCUGGCGCUGCCGGUGCCGUUCUGGCAUUAGUUGGUGGCAGGGUUUGGCAGCGCUCUGCAUGCUUGAGAGUGGAGUAACUCCUUCUCAGUGGGGUUAAUCCUAGAUGGGAUGCAGACAAC
RNAcentral lists this small nucleolar RNA (205 nucleotides) under Charadrius vociferus (killdeer). Its description in RNAcentral is "Small nucleolar RNA SNORA74". It matches the Rfam family "Small nucleolar RNA SNORA74". Rfam says of the family: U19 belongs to the H/ACA class of snoRNAs. snoRNAs bind a number of proteins (including dyskerin, Gar1p and Nop10p in the case of the H/ACA class) to form snoRNP complexes. The record is from Rfam by way of RNAcentral. Lineage: Eukaryota; Metazoa; Chordata; Aves; Charadriiformes; Charadriidae.